Molecule: non-coding RNA, 7909 nt
Organism: Equus caballus (horse)
Lineage: Eukaryota; Metazoa; Chordata; Mammalia; Perissodactyla; Equidae
Source: RefSeq, a predicted model, not a curated record
GGAGGAGAAGCAGGCGCUGCGGCCACACGGACCUCUGAGAGCCGCGAUCUGGGCACGGGGACUGGCGCGGGCCGGCCCUGGGCGGCGAGAGGCGAGAAGACUUGCUAUGGAGCCUUCCAGAAUUCACAGGGCUUUGUAAAGGCCCAAGGGCCCGGUGGUUAUGAGCACCUGCAAGGCUGAGUUGCGAAGAGGAAACCCUCGCCAAACCGGGUGUAUUCACUCACUCACUCACUCAUUCCUUCAUUCCUUCACUCAAGAAUAGUGUCCAAGUUCCUACCACGUGCUGCGGGCAGAGCCAAGCGAGAUCCUUGCCUCCAGGAACAUGCGGCCGGCGGCGACAGUAGCAGCCUGUGGGAGCUCUGCCUGCCCCGCGCCCGUCGCGCCUCUCUCGGCGAGUCGCCUUCUCCUCAAUCCCUUCCACCUGGUCUGUGCGCCGCUGACCCAUCCCCCGACUCCCAACCUGACCAGUCCUGGCUCAGGCAGGGUUAUCUGUCCCCCUCUGGGCCAAGAUAAGUCAAGAAAAAAGAAAACAGAGGGAUGAACCUGUGCGUUGAUUGCUGCCUGAAGCCUUUGUCCAGGUGCCCCAUUCCGCCUGGAAUGCCAUUCCUGCCGCAAGGACGUGGGGCUCCUCCGUGCCCUUGCCAGCCUUGCUUCUUUUGAGGCUCUCUGGACCCCGAGGUCCAGCCGCCUGGACCUCUGUGCAGUGCCUGAACACAUCAAGCUGGCUCCAGCCUCAGGGCCCCUGCGCUCCCCUCUGCCUGCCGCUCUUCCCUCGGCUACUCCAGAGGCAGGCCCUCUGUCCCUUCACCCUGCAGCUCAUGGAUCGAACAUUGAUGCAGAGCCUCAGAAGAGCUGUUCCAGGCCACACAAUCUAGAGAAGUCCCUCAGCCACUGCCCAGCAUGUCUCUCUGUUUUAUUUCCUUCAUGGCGCUCACUUGUAUCUGACAUUUUCUGCCUCGUUAUGUGUUUAUUUUCUGUCUCUCCCACUAGACGACAAGCUCUUUGAGGGCUUGUACUCACAGUUGUAUCCCCAAUACACAGUGAGAGCACAGAGUAGGUGCUAAGUGCUUGUUGAGUGGCUUAACGUCCACCUGCCAGGGUGAACCAAGACUGAAGGGACCUGUCCUGUUGAGGAGCCCUGUAGCUCAUUCUCAGGAGUUGUCCCGUUGUUCUUUCUUCUUCAGCCACCAGCUCUCCUCACUGGCCCUCAUGGACACUGACCUUCUUGAUUCACGAGCUUCCAACAAGGUAUUCGUCUUUCUUCUCAAGGGAACCCCUUUUAUACUUUAGGAGGUUCCUACUAAAAUGGCACAUCUUCAGGGCAGCUUUCUGCAACCACACACCCACUGGGACAGAUCGCCUUGUUACAGGCCAUAGAGGGGCCUUUAAUUUUCCUUCAUGCAUCCCCCUCCAUUGCAGUUUUAUCACCUCUUCUGGGACGAUUUGAUUGACAUGUCUCCCCCACUAGAACAUGAGGGCGAAGACUAUCUUAGUCCCGGAAUUCCCCAACACCUGGUGAGGUGCCUCCGUUUAGAGGGUGCUCAAUAAAAUGUGUAGAAUAGUGAUGUGUCAGGGGCCUGGAAUGCGGAAGUGGCGUGAGGGGAACUUGGCAGCUGGGGUAGAGAGGGCAGAAUGACAGGUGACGGGAGCCGCUGCAAGAAUGGCUUGGAGACUGGACACCCCAAAAAGCUGUUAGGAAAGCAGAGAAGAAACCAUAGUCUUAGGAGGUGUCUGCGGCGGGAGAGGAGGGAAGUUUAAGCUGAAACUUUCCUAAUGCUGCCACCUGCAAUAACGUGGAAAGCAGAAAAUGUGCCACAUGAACUGGGCGAUCUGGCUGAAGGAACUCCCAGGCAGAAUGUUGAAGGUGCCUCCUGGCUUCUUCUUGCUGCUUGUUGUAAAAUGUGAGAGAAGAGAGAUAAGCCAAAAGAAGGACUUUGAAAUGGAAAGGAACCAGAACUUGCUGGUUUUGAAAAUUACCAGCUUUUCCAGAUGUUAAAUGAUGCUAAAAUUAACAACAGCUUCCAAGCAAAGAUGUCAUGCAGGGCCACACCAGGAAAUGAUGGUCUAAAGAUGAAGCCAAGGGUGUGGCUGCAAAAUCCUUUGUUAAAUUCUCAAAAAAAUAAAAACUGACGCCUCAGAAUAUUCGGUUAAACAGUAGGACUUCCAGGAAGCUUAAAGUUGUCAUUCAGCAAAAGCCCAAGGUAGAGAAGGGCUUAUCUCAAAGAGAUGCGUGGAUUUGCCAGUAGUUUAAAGGAGUGAACCUCAGUAAGAUUCACAGAAAAUAUCUAAACCCUUUAAAAGAAUUAUAUCGGCAAAACAGUGCCAGCUAGGACUGAAAGGAUCAGAGAGAGUACAAAAUGGAAAGAGGCCUCUGGAACUGCCCUUCCCCCGAAUUCUACUGACAAGAGCAGCCUGAGAAAGCACACAGAUGCAGUGUGGGCUCCAGUGCAUGGAAAUGGAAGCAUGACUUGGAGAACAGAACCAAGAAUCCAGAGGGUGGGACCGUGAGCAGGGAGGGCCACUCUCAGGCCAGAGUCAGACUGAGUUCUAAUCAAGAGUUCCAACAUCUGCCAGCUGGAUUUCAGAACUGCAAUGGACCAGUGACAGCUGUGUGCCUCCCAUCCCUGUCCCCUUUGAACAGGAAUACCUGUAGUGGUCAUGCUAUGCCUGUCCCACCAUUGUAUGUUGGGUGUGGCAGGGGGGCAGGGGUACAGAGAACUUGUCCCUUGAAUUCACAGGUCCUCAGAUUGAGAGCGACUGUACUCAAGGAGUUACACUGAAGGAAAUAUGCCCAAGGAGCCUCCCACAUUGGAAUCUGAUUUAGAUGCAGAGAUUCUGGAUUUUGAGCUCAUUCUAUAGCAGGAUGGGUGUUUUGGGGGCGUUUGGAAGAUCGCCUAUGUUUUGCAUGUGGGAGGAUUGUAAACAAUUUGUGGCUGCUGCGUGGACUGUGACAGUUUAAAAGCCCUUUGACACCCCCGCCCUUCAAGAGGAGGAGGACAAUUGCUUGAGCCCUUGAGAGUGGCUGGACUCAGUGACCCGCUUCUAACAAAUGCAGUGUGGUGGAAGUGACAGCGUGUGACUUCUGAGUCUAUCCUUUCAUGGAUCAGAUAGAGAAAUGGGGCCUGAGGUCUGAGAGCGGCAGAAUUAUGUGACAUUCUCUGAGUGUGUCAUCAUGCCCCGACCUCUGCCUGGGCAGCUCCUGUGCUAGGAAGGCCCGCGCUUCAUCUUCCCAGCCUUGCUUGUGCUUGGCUUGGGCAUUCCCCAGCCCUCCCCCUUGGGAAUGUCCGCAUUCGCAGCACAGAUCACUCUAAUAUACCUUGGCAUAGGCUCGUCUGCCUCUUUCUCUCAACUACAAGCCUCAGAGGCAGGGACAAGCCCUGCUGCAUCUGGUACCCCAGAGGCCUUCAUGGACCCUGCCUUGGAAGAGCUACCACUGAGUGAGCAUGGAUGGAGGAUGCGCCCGACAGAGGCAGCCUCUCCCUGCGCUUUCUGCAGUCCCCUGAGGGGCCGGGUGGGGAGUGGGUGCUUGCACAGGCCUGCAUUGUGGGUGAGGGGUGGGGCUACUGCACCAGUCCAGGGGCAGUUCAGAGGGUGAGUCUGGCUCAGGUCCACCUCAGAGGGUCAGAUGGACAGAGCCAUGGACUCGCUUUCCGUUGUGUAAGGAUGAUUCAGCUUGCCCUUUGGGAACUCAAUAACCGGAUGCCGUGUGUACACUGCUAAGGAAACACGGACUUGGCAGAUUCAGGGCCUUUGGGAAAUCAAAGAGAGCAGGGCAUGUGACCUGAACUUUCUUUUCAAACUGGGGACAGUGUUCCCCUUUGCUCAACUCUUGAGGUCUCCUGUUCAGAUGCAAAGUGAGACCAUCCCACGCUUCUACCCUACCUUGUGAAUCAGUCAUGCUGUCAUCUGAUAUCCCAUCCUGUAGAACCUCUGCCCAGUGGGAACCAAGAAUUCAGGAGAGUUUUCCUCAAUAUCCCCUAUAAAAGUAGGCAAUAUGUGAUUCUAUGUAUUGUCUUAGUCUGUUCAGGCUGCCAUAAGACACUACCGUAGACCGGGUGGCUUAUAAACAACAGAAACUCAUCUCUCACAGUCCUAGAGCUGGAGGUCCGAGGUCAGGAUGCCAGUGUUGUCGGAGGAGAGCCCUCUUCUGGAUCAGAGACUUCUCAUUGUAUCCUCACAUGGCAGAAGGGUCAGGGAUCUCUGUGGGGUCUCUUUUAAGGGCACUAAUCCCCUUUAUAAGGGCUCUACCCUCAUGACCUAAGCACCUUCCCAAACCCCCACCUCAUAAUACCAUCAUCUUUGGGGGUUAGGUUAUAAGGUAUAAAUUUAGGGGAACACAAACAUUCAGACCAUAACACAGAUAGAGGUGAAAUACGAGUUAGCCUUAAUGCGGCUCCGGGCCUUGAACUGGGACCCACCUGAGGACCUGGAAAUAUAAACAAAAAUGUUUCUGAGGAGCUAGGCUAAUGGUCGGGAAGGUCACAGCCCUUCUCCUACGAGGCCUCACGUAAGGGCCUUUGGCCUCUGUGUGAAAUCAGACCUGGGGGUUGUUUCAUGUUUGUAUCCUCAGUACCUGGGACAACACCUGGCCCGCGGACAGCCACCAGGAACUCACUGCAGGGGGAUAAAUGAGAAAGGGGAGGGUCAGGUGCUUGUAGCCCCCUCGGGGAGACGAACAUGCAGGAACAGCAGAAGUCAAGGAUGGAGAAGUGGUGGGAACCACGAGGGGGGACUUUAGGGGGGGCCUGGGCUGCAUCAGGCUUCCUUGGGAGGACAUGGCCUGGCAAGACUAGGAUGAGGUUAAUUAGGAAAAUGUAGAAAGAUUCUAUAGGGAGAGAAAAGUAAGAAUGAAUGUGAGGGUACGUGGAGGUAGGGACCUGUGGGUGGUGUCUAAGGAAUAAUGAGAAAACAUGACCCACCACACACUCGUCAAGAGGAGCUGGAAAGGGCCAGGGUCACGAGGACCUGCAACAUGGCACCAGGAGGCUGCAUUCCACUGUGAGGUCCAGCGGGAGCCAGACACGUGAGUUCAUAGGCCAGGGCCACUUCAGAAGUGUUUGGGUAACUGCCGUUGGAUUGCUCACUUUUUGUUUUGCAAAGUAAGGACAUCCAGAAAAUCAAUUUCCUGGAAACUUCAGCCUUAAAAAAGAAGGAAGUUCUGACACAUGCUACAACAUGGAUGAAUCUUGAGGAUGUCCUGGUCAGCGAAAUAAGUCAGUCACUAAAAGAUAAAUACUGUAUGAUCCCACUCAUAUGAGGCCCCUAGAGAAGUCGAAUUCAUAGAGACAGAAAGUGGAAUGGUGAUUGCCAGGGGCUGGGGGAGGGGGUGGGGAGUUGGUGUUUAAUGGGGAUGAGCUUCGGUUUGGGAAGACGGAAGAAUUCUGCAAAUGGAUGGCGGUGGUGGCUGCACACAAUGUGAAUGUACUAAAUGCCAAUGAACUGUGCGCUUAAAAGUGGUUAAUAUGGUCAACUUUGCAUUAUUUUAUCAUGAUCCAUUUUUAAAAAAUCAAUUUCUACCAGCCAUCAUCAUAAUUUCACAGAGAAAGACCAUUCAGCACAAAAAAAGCUUAAAGGGGCAGUUGGGCCUGCCAUCUUGCAAGCAGUGCUCUGGGCUCUGAAGAGCUCCAGUGUCUGCACGUGAGAAACAUGAGGUGCAGAGAUGGGAAGCAGGAGCCCAGCGAGAGGGAGGCGGCACUGGUCCGAGGGAGCGCAGGUGGUGCCCAGGGUCAGCGACAGCAGAGCUGUUACCACUUCCAGGCCUUAAGGGGUUGUGGGGAAGGCGAGGGAGCACUUACCACACCCAGAGGAGAGCGGCGUGGACAGAGGGCUGUUUGAGAGGAGCAGUGAACUUGGGCAAGGACAUAGUCCAGCCACAAGGGGCGGCCAGGGCAAUAAAUCCCCGUCUCACUCUCCUUCUCUCUGGUCUCCUUCUGGGACUCUCUAACAGCUAAACCCAAAUGGAAGUCAGAGGCCAAGAAGCCAGUGGGUGCUGUCCUUGGAGGUCAGACUCCAGAGCAGCAAGCAGCAAGGGAAGGAGGAGAGCGGACCUGGAGAGACCAAUGGAAGAGCUUGUACCGUCCAGUGAGGAGAGAGCCCACUCAAGUUCAAUGGAGGGAACUUACUAUGAAGCAGUAGUUACGAAAGAGCUAGAAGAGCUGAGGAUGCAAACAGGAAAUGAUGAGGCAACCUAGAGACCAGCAGCAGACGGCAAGCUGACACCACCCUAAGGCCAGAGGGAUGAAGGGAAGAUGAGAUCACAGAUGGCUUUCAUGUUACCAAAUGAAAGCACAUGCUUUCCUUCCCAUCUGGACCCCUCCGCAGUGGUCAGCACUGUUGGCUCCCUGUGUCAAUCCUGUGCCUGGUUGCUCAAAACGUUUGCCCUGCUGUGCUCUGUAUUGCACAAUUCUGAAGUCAGAGUCACCCAGCAGGAGAAAAAAACAUAAAAGAGGACCACUCAAGAACUGGGACCUAUCUGGGAUCACGGAAGAGACACAGCUACUCCUGGAGCUGCUGCCUGAAGUAGAAAUAGAGGGAAACACCCCGGCUUCGGCUGUUCUCUUCUCAUCUCCCACCAGGGCUUCCCAAUGCCUUAGCCAACUGGAAGUCACUCGCUUGGCAAGGGAGCCUGAGAAAUGUGGUUUGCUGGGGUCAGGCACCUGCAAUAUGGAGCAGAGGGGGGCGAGCAAGGAACAGAGCUGCAAGCAACCAGGCACAUGGCUCACACAGGAGGCCAAGAGCAUUGUCUGUUAUGAAGAGAUCCCGAUGGGAAAGAAAGUGUGUGCAGUAGGUCUGGCAGCAUGGAAGGCAUCGGCCCUCAGUGAGCGCUGUGUCUGGAGUGAUGGGAGUACAGCCAGCUUGGAGAGAGUGAAAAGUGAGACCAUCUGCUCAGUAUAAAAUGUGAAAUAAUCCAGAAAUGGAUAAAGAAAAAGGUAAUAUUCCUCCCCACACACACGCACACCCACUCCCUUUGGACUUCCCCGAGGUAACUGAUACUACGAUUGUUUAUGUUACAAAAUUGGAGUCAUGUUGCUAUGGUUGCCACUCUGCAAUGCCUUUUCUCCUUCAAAAAUGCAUCACAGAUGUCCCUAAAAGUCAGCAGACAGGGAAUCUAACUCAUUUUCCCCAUGAAGCAAUUUCGUAGGAACUGUGUGAUGUCUUUCUUAUCGCUGUAGGGCCAUUGUGGAGUCCUUCACACGCUUUUCCAGAGUUCAUCGUCCUCACAUCGUGAGAUACAGCAGCCUUAAAAUCUGUGAUGUCACCAGAAAAUACAUCCUAAGCCACAGGAACCCACUUGCGUCUCAUUGAUAGGUUUUAAAAAAUCCUUCUGCAAAUGUAUAUUCAUAAUUUGUAGAAAAAUAUUGUAGAAUGCUACUAAUUAUUGUAUUCUUUUUCAAGUGCCCUUUAAAAGGCUUGCUGAGUUCAACAGUUAAAAUUGUGUUGGCUUUAGGAAUAUUUACUAAAUGUGUGUUAUAUUUCUUUGUCUCCUUUUGGUUAAAUUUUUAUUAUGGAACAUUUUAAACAUAUACAAAAUUAGAGAAAAUGUGUAAUAAAAUCUCAUGUCCCCAUAAUCUCACUCCAAAAAUUAUCAAUUCAUGGUUAAUUUUGUUUACCUAUACCCAUUUUCUCCUCCCCAACAUUAGCUUAUUUUGAAGCAAACCCAGACAUCAUGUCAUCUCAUGUGUAGUAUUUCAGUAUGUAUCUCUGAAAAAUAAAAUUAUUUUUAAGAAACAGCCACAAUAUAUCACACCUAAAAAAAUUAAUAGUAAUUUCCUAUUACCGUCAAACAUGCAGUGUGUGUUGUAAUUCCCCCGACUGUACAUUUAGCAGGUCUGAACCAGGUCCACACACUGCCAUUUGCUGAUACGUCCCUCUUAACCUCUCUCUCUCCCUUUCCCUCUCUCUCCCUCUC